CUGUGGGGACACGUAAGGAAAGCGGAAGCCGGGAAUGGAAAGCCCGGUGCAAGCGGGGUACCAGUCACUUUGGCAAAUCCGGGUGGCAAUGGGAAGCCGUGAUGCGGAGCGAAAUAAAGUAGCGAAGUCCGUGAGCCAUGCGUCAAGAAAAGCCGCUAUCGUUUAUACCGUACCCGUACCGUAAACCGACACAGGUGGAUGAGGAGAGAAUCCUAAGGCCGGCGGAAGAAGCAUUGUCAAGGAACUCGGCAAAAUGGCCCCGUAACUUAGGGAUAAGGGGUGCCUGGGAAACCAGGCCGCAGAGAAUAGGCUCAAGCAACUGUUUAGCAAAAACACAGGUCUAUGCGAAACCGAAAGGUGAGGUAUAUGGGCUGACGCCUGCCCGGUGCUGGAAGGUUAAGAGGAGAGGUUAGCGGUAACGCGAAGCUUUGAAUUUAAGCCCCAGUAAACGGCGGCCGUAACAAUAACGGUCCUAAGGUAGCGAAAUUCCUUGUCGGGUAAGUUCCGACCCGCACGAAAGGCGUAAUGAUUUGAGCGCUGUCUCGACAAUGCAUCCGGUGAAAUUGAAGUACCAGUGAAGAUGCUGGUUACCUGCGCCAGGACGGAAAGACCCCAUGGAGCUUUACUCCAGUCUGGUACUGGGACUCGGUAUUGCAUGUACAGGAUAGGUGGGAGGCUAGGAGAUGGUAACGCCAGUUGCCAUGGAGCCGCUGUUGGGAUACCACCCUUGCAGUAUUGGGUUUCUAACCAGCCGCCGUGACCCGGCGGUGGGACAAUGCCAGACGGGGAGUUUGACUGGGGCGGUCGCCUCCGAAAGGGUAUCGGAGGCGCCCAAAGGUUCCCUCAGAAUGGACGGAAACCAUUCGAAGAGUGCAAAGGCAGAAGGGAGCUUGACUGCGACACCGGCGGGUGGAGCAGGUACGAAAGUAGGGCUUAGUGAUCCGGUGGUAUUAAGUGGGAAUGCCAUCGCUCAACGGAUAAAAGCUACCCUGGGAUAACAGGCUUAUCACUCCCAAGAGUUCACAUCGACGGAGAGGUUUGGCACCUCGAUGUCGGCUCAUCGCAUCCUGGGGCUGUAGUAGGUCCCAAGGGUUGGGCUGUUCGCCCAUUAAAGCGGUACGCGAGCUGGGUUCAGAACGUCGUGAGACAGUUCGGUCCCUAUCCGGCGUGGGCGUAGGAUAUCUGAGAGGAGCUGUCCUUAGUACGAGAGGACCGGGAUGGACGGGCCGCUGGUGCAUCGGUUAGACUGCCAAGUCUACGGCCGAGUAGCCAAGCCCGGAAGGGAUAAACGCUGAAGGCAUCUAAGCGUGAAGCCCCCCUUAAGAUGAGAUAUCCCAUUCGAAAGAAGUAAACCCCCUUGAAGACGACGACGUAGAUAGGGCAGAGGUGGAAGUGCAGCAAUGCAUGGAGCUGACUGUUACUAAUCGGGUGAGGGCUUGACCG
RNAcentral lists this ribosomal RNA (1443 nucleotides) under metagenome. RNAcentral describes it as "bacterial LSU rRNA". It matches the Rfam family "Bacterial large subunit ribosomal RNA", at positions 1464 to 2925 of the family's 2925-position model. The record is from RNAcentral.